CUCAGAAUGAACAGUGGACGGGAGCGACCGGCAGGGUGAGUUCAAACACAAUGGAAGAGUUUUCCUUGGGAAGGAGUUUGGAAGGCUGAGGGUGGAAGCAGGCCUUUGUCAAGCACCUUGCAAGACCAGAUGUCCUGUGUGUGGUCUUCUGUUACCCCAGGAGUCCUGGAAGCAAGGUAAGU
RNAcentral lists this long non-coding RNA (182 nucleotides) under Pan troglodytes (chimpanzee). RNAcentral describes it as "lncRNA (ENSPTRG00000053716.1)". The record is from RNAcentral. Lineage: Eukaryota; Metazoa; Chordata; Mammalia; Primates; Hominidae.